GAGUUUGAUCCUGGCUCAGGAUGAACGCUAGCUACAGGCUUAACACAUGCAAGUCGAGGGGAAACGACAUCGAAAGCUUGCUUUUGAUGGGCGUCGACCGGCGCACGGGUGAGUAACGCGUAUCCAACCUGCCCAUCACUUGGGGAUAACCUUGCGAAAGUAAGACUAAUACCCAAUGACGUCUCUAGAAGACAUCUGAAGGAGAUUAAAGAUUUAUCGGUGAUGGAUGGGGAUGCGUCUGAUUAGCUUGUUGGCGGGGUAACGGCCCACCAAGGCUACGAUCAGUAGGGGUUCUGAGAGGAAGGUCCCCCACAUUGGAACUGAGACACGGUCCAAACUCCUACGGGAGGCAGCAGUGAGGAAUAUUGGUCAAUGGACGAGAGUCUGAACCAGCCAAGUAGCGUGCAGGAUGACGGCCCUAUGGGUUGUAAACUGCUUUUAUAAGGGAAUAAAGUGAGUCUCGUGAGACUUUUUGCAUGUACCUUAUGAAUAAGGACCGGCUAAUUCCGUGCCAGCAGCCGCGGUAAUACGGAAGGUCCGGGCGUUAUCCGGAUUUAUUGGGUUUAAAGGGAGUGUAGGCCGGAGAUUAAGCGUGUUGUGAAAUGUAGACGCUCAACGUCUGCACUGCAGCGCGAACUGGUUUCCUUGAGUACGCACAAAGUGGGCGGAAUUCGUGGUGUAGCGGUGAAAUGCUUAGAUAUCACGA
RNAcentral lists this ribosomal RNA (706 nucleotides) under uncultured bacterium. RNAcentral's name for it is "bacterial SSU rRNA". It matches the Rfam family "Bacterial small subunit ribosomal RNA", at positions 9 to 702 of the family's 1533-position model. The record is from RNAcentral.